UACGGAAGGCAGCAGUGGGGAAUAUUGCACAAUGGGCGCAAGCCUGAUGCAGCCAUGCCGCGUGUAUGAAGAAGGCCUUCGGGUUGUAAAGUACUUUCAGUCGUGAGGAAGGUGUUAAGGUUAAUAACCUUAGCAAUUGACGUUAGCGACAGAAGAAGCACCGGCUAACUCCGUGCCAGCAGCCGCGGUAAUACGGAGGGUGCGAGCGUUAAUCGGAAUUACUGGGCGUAAAGGGCACGCAGGCGGUUAAUUAAGUUGGAUGUGAAAUCCCCGGGCUUAACCUGGGAAUGGCAUUCAAGACUGGUUAGCUAGAGUCUUGUAGAGGGGGUAGAAUUCCGAUGUGUAGCGGUGAAAUGCGUAGAGAUGUGGAGGAAUACCGGUGGCGAAGGCGGCCCCUGGACAAAGGCUGACGCUCAUGUGCGAAAGCGUGGGGAGCAAACGAGGGAUUAGAUACC
This 455-nucleotide ribosomal RNA is filed under the name uncultured bacterium. RNAcentral describes it as "bacterial SSU rRNA". It matches the Rfam family "Bacterial small subunit ribosomal RNA", at positions 340 to 786 of the family's 1533-position model. The record is from RNAcentral.